This 497-nucleotide ribosomal RNA is filed under the name uncultured bacterium. Its description in RNAcentral is "partial 16S ribosomal RNA". It matches the Rfam family "Bacterial small subunit ribosomal RNA", at positions 28 to 507 of the family's 1533-position model. The record is from RNAcentral.
GAUGAACGCUGGCGGCGCGCCUAAUACAUGCAAGUCGAGCGAACAGACGAGGAGCUUGCUCCUCUGACGUUAGCGGCGGACGGGUGAGUAACACGUGGAUAACCUACCUAUAAGACUGGGAUAACUUCGGGAAACCGGAGCUAAUACCGGAUAACAUGUUGAACCGCAUGGUUUAACAGUGAAAGACGGUCUUGCUGUCACUUAUAGAUGGAUCCGCGCCGCAUUAGCUAGUUGGUAAGGUAACGGCUUACCAAGGCAACGAUGCGUAGCCGACCUGAGAGGGUGAUCGGCCACACUGGAACUGAGACACGGUCCAGACUCCUACGGGAGGCAGCAGUAGGGAAUCUUCCGCAAUGGGCGAAAGCCUGACGGAGCAACGCCGCGUGAGUGAAGAAGGUCUUCGGAUCGUAAAACUCUGUUAUUAGGGAAGAACAAAUGUGUAAGUAACUAUGCACGUCUUGACGGUACCUAAUCAGAAAGCCACGGCUAACUACGUG